Molecule: ribosomal RNA, 555 nt
Filed under: uncultured bacterium
Lineage: Bacteria
Description: bacterial SSU rRNA
Rfam family: Bacterial small subunit ribosomal RNA
Source: RNAcentral
GGAAUAUUGCGCAAUGGGCGAAAGCCUGACGCAGCGACGCCGCGUGGGGGAUGAAGGUCUUCGGAUUGUAAACCCCUUUCGGGAGGGAAGAUGGAAUGGGGUAACCCAUUCGGACGGUACCUCCAGAAGCAGCCACGGCUAACUUCGUGCCAGCAGCCGCGGUAAUACGAAGGUGGCAAGCGUUAUUCGGAUUUACUGGGCGUACAGGGAGCGUAGGCGGCUCGGUAAGCCCUUUGUGAAAUCUCCAGGCUUAACCUGGAAAAGUCGGAGGGGACUGCCGGGCUAGAGGACGGGAGAGGAGCGCGGAAUUCCCGGUGUAGCGGUGAAAUGCGUAGAGAUCGGGAGGAAGGCCGGUGGCGAAGGCGGCGCUCUGGAACGUUUCUGACGCUGAGGCUCGAAAGCGUGGGGAGCAAACAGGAUUAGAUACCCUGGUAGUCCACGCCUUAAACUAUGAAUACUAAGUGUCGGCAGUUUACUGCCGGUGCCGCAGCUAACGCAUUAAGUAUUCCGCCUGGGAAGUACGGCCGCAAGGUUGAAACUCAAAUGAAUUGACGG